Molecule: ribosomal RNA, 141 nt
Filed under: uncultured eukaryote
Lineage: Eukaryota
Description: partial 18S ribosomal RNA
Rfam family: Eukaryotic small subunit ribosomal RNA
Source: RNAcentral
UGGUGGAGUGAUUUGUCUGGUUAAUUCCGUUAACGAACGAGACCCCUGCCUGCUAAAUAGUCUGGUGAUUGUCUUACACUGACUUUAACUUCUUAGAGGGACGUGCAUUCGACUAGUUGCAGGAAGAUAGGGGCAAUAACA